RNAcentral lists this long non-coding RNA (3638 nucleotides) under Homo sapiens (human). RNAcentral's name for it is "HSALNT0217468". Lineage: Eukaryota; Metazoa; Chordata; Mammalia; Primates; Hominidae. The record is from RNAcentral.
CAAUGGCACAUUUCCCCUUCAGUCCUGGCACUGUAAUGUUACAUCUUGGUUUUUGGUUUUGUGUACAAAUGUGUUUAACACUGUGUAUUAAACACAAGGAAACACUCUUUUGUUGGUCACAUAGCCAUCAUGUACAACCAAAUUUAUACUUUUGUAUUUUUCCAAAACAAACAUCCCUGGGUGUUUCGUGCACACACACAGACAACUCACUAGACAAGGUUUACCUCCUCCAGACCACGCCUAUCCAAGACAGUGCCUAAGUAGAGGCAGGAGAGUUGAGCCUGUCUCUGUGGUAUCUUCAUGGGAAACACCAACAUUUUCUUGCUCUACUUCUGGUGUUGGUUGGGGAAUUCGGUUAUUUCUUGGAAAGACUGAGUGUGUCAAAGAAUCAUUCUGUUUGCUGUCUGAAAACAAAUGACACAGUAUUUGUUUUGAACAAAUGAAACAGUGUUUGUUUUGGUGUGCAAAGGCCUUUGACCCUUUCUGUGUCAAUGUACUUUUUUAUCAUCACAUAAACAUCAUGUAUAACCAAAUUUAAAUUUUUGUAGUGUGUAUUAAUGCCUUUUAUUUUGUUUAGUUAUUCAUAAUCAUUUUUCAAAAUAUCUUUAUUCUUAUAUUUUAUCACUUUUUAUUAAAUUAAUGGAAAUGUCACCCAUUCUCUAUAAUUGUUUUCCACAAAUUUCCUCUGAAAUACUUCUAGUUGAAAAGGUGCAGAAAGUUUGCUAGGAACCACAAGACAAAAUUUGCUAGAGACUCAUACUUAAAACGGGUUUUGUAUAUGGCUUAGUUUGUUCUAAUUUGCAAGGUUCAAAAGCAUUGAUUUGAAUACAUGGAAUACCAAGACUCCCUUCCAGCACACAAAGACCAGUUAUUUUGUUAAUAUGCACGAAUAAACUUCAGCAUAUUGUUUUUCUUUUACCUGAAAUUUAUAGAUACUGGCUUGAAUCUCUGAUUCCUUCUACAUAGUAUUUGUAAACGUCUGCAAGACAUUUCCUUAUACUUAUGGCUCAUAAUAUAGGUGUGUAUUCUUCUCUUUCUCUUUGAUGAGUAAAUACCAAAAUUGCUUCUUCAGUUAAAAAAAAAAAAAAGCCACUCCGAAAAUCUGUGCAUACAACUGCACACAGCAAAUGUUUUCCGAUUAUCGUCUGUAGAAAAGAAAUGGGAACUUCAAUUUAUUUUCUUGUAUCAGAUAAUAAUCUUUUAAAAGUGAUUUAUACUUUUAUAGAUUACCAGAGAAUUUUCAGAGUUGCUUUCUGUCCAGGACAUGUGUGGGGCUCAGAGACACCAUAGACAAAGUUGCCAUGUUCUGUGAUGCUUCUGUCCAACAGGGUUUCAGAAAACUUGACAAAAAUUAAACUGUAAGGUGGAAGAGCUGCCCUUGGGAACUGAGAGGACAGGUUUCAGGCCUGGGAUGGGAUGGACAGGGGAAGCCUCCAGGAGGAGGAACAUUGGAGGAGAUGCUGGAGAGUGAGGCGCAGUGGGUCCAGGAGACAGGGGAGGGAAAGCGAGGAGGAAAACCUGUGUGCCUGGCACAGGCCAGGCCAUGAGAAGAGGGCGGUGGAUUGGAAGGAGCGCUGGGAUGAGUAAUUGGUGAGGACGCAGGAGCAGGAAGGGCAGACCACGGAGGGACUGGGCAGGGGAGGCAGGGAGGGCCGCUCCCUGAGGACUGCGCUCUGUGGGGAGGGAUUCGAAUGUCUGGGUUUGGUUCCCUGAGAUGUUACCCCAGCCCAUGAGCUCAGCCUAUGGGAAGGACGUUGAGGAGUGAGUGGGCCCUGUCCCCUGGGGAGGCUCCUGGGCUGGGCCAGGGGGGCGUGGGUCUGGGAGAAAGGAGGGUGGAGAAGAGCAAAGAGGACCCCCGGCUGCCUGACUGCAGGGCUCAUGGGGCUGCCCUUGUUCCUGGCCUUUUCUCUAUCGCUCAGACCCUCGCUUCCCCGCCAGGGCAGGUUUCUGCCACCUCAGUGCUUUUGCAGGUGGUGGGAUCCAUGGAGGAGAAAACUCAGAUCUGCGGACUCCUCUCCACCUGGCGCCCACACAGGUGAGGCUGGGAGCAGCCUGAAGGGAAGUGCGGGUGCGGGGGUCGCAGCUGCGCAGUGAGGGGAACCGGAGGCUGCCACGCAGGCUGGGCUUGGGGGCGGGAGCCAGGCCCAGGUGGGGCGUGAGGGCCGCGGGUGCAGGGCAAGGCUGACAGGGAGUGAGGGAGGAAGGUGGAGGGCGGUGAUCAGAGGGCGCGGCUGACAGGGGGAGAGGGCGGUGAGAUCUACAGGAGAACUCAGGGCGGAUGUCUGAGGGGUCUGCGCUGGGCUUUCCGGUGGCUUCGCCCGGAACGCGCGCUUGUUCCUGAGGCGGUGCCUGCCUGUGUCGUCGUCCCUGUUUGUUCUUCAAACGUCAGGAUUUCUCCGUGUUUCCCAGACCGUAACGUACAUUUAAAAAGCUUGCUUUCUGUCACAUAUGCCCUUUUAUAUUAUGGACAUAACAAUUGUUACUUACCUACGUUUCCUAUUUGUGAAUUAUUCAUAGAUAAAGAAUUUACCAAAACUUUUAUUUUUAGUUGACACAUUGCGUAUAUUUAUGGAUAACAGUGUGAUAUUUUGAUUCUUGUAUUCAUUGGGGAAGAUUCAAUCAAGCUAAUUAACAUGGGCAUCAACUCACCAGCUAAUACUUUAUGGUGAGAACACUAAAAAUCUUUUAUUUAGCUAUUCUAAAAUGUACAGCGUGACUUCGGAGGAAAUGAUACUGCCCGGCCUCAGUAGCCCGAGACUGAUCAUUUCUAAAUCUUGAGGUUCCCAUUUCUGAGGGGGUCAUGGCUGCAUGCCCGUAAGCAAGGGGGGUGGUGCUCCAGUGAACAUUCAUGUGAAUGUGUCUUUUUGGAAGAAUGAUUUCUAUUCCUCUGGGUGUAUACCCUGUAAUGGGAUUGCUGAGUUGAAUGGUAGUUCUGAUUUUAGCUCUUUGAGGAAAUGACAUAUUGCUUUCCACAAUGGUUGAAUGAACUUACACUCCUACCAACAGUGUGUAAGUGAUCCUUUUUAUCUGCAACCUCACCAGCAUCUGUUAUUUUGACUUUUUAGUAAUAGCCAUUCUGACUGGUAUGAGAUGGUAUCUCAUUGUGGUUUUGAUUUGCGUUUCUGUAAUGAUCAAUGAUAUUGAGCUUUUAUUCAUAUGCUUGUUGGCCGCAUGUAUCUCCUGUUUGGAAAUUGUCUGUUCUUAUCCUUUGCUACUUUUCUUUUCUUUUCUUUUUUUUUUUUUUUGAGACCGGGUCUUGUUCUGUUGCCCAAGCUGGAGUGCAGUGGCGCGAUCUCGGCUCACUGCAACCUCCGCCUCCCGGGUUCAAGCGAUUCUCCUGUCCCCUCCCAAGUAGCUGGGACUACAGGCACCUGCCACCACACCUGGCUGAUUUUUUGUAUUUUUAGUAGAGACGAGGUUUCACCAUGUUAGCCAGGAUGGUCUCGAUCUCCUGACCUUGUGAUCCGCCCGCCUUGGCCUCCCAAAGUGCUGGGAUUACAGGCGUGAGCCACCGCGCCCGGUGCUUUGCCUACUUUUUAAUGCGGUUGUUUGUUUUUCUCUCGUAAAUUUGUUUAAGUUUUUUAUAGAUGCUGGAUAUUAUACUUCCAUCAGAUGCAUAGUUUGCAAAUAUUUUCUCC